This is a non-coding RNA of Rattus norvegicus (Norway rat), 14073 nucleotides long. The record is from RefSeq and is a predicted model, not a curated record. NCBI's taxonomy places the organism in Eukaryota, Metazoa, Chordata, Mammalia, Rodentia, Muridae.
UCUUCAGCGAGUAGUUUACCUGUACAAGAUCUGUGGUGUUCUCUAAAGGCGGAAAUAUGUGCAGACUUGACAUAGUGAUCUGAGUGUUAAUAAGUUUAAUAAAUGUCACUGGUUAGUUUCUACUUGGAAAGAAAUGUUUUGGGUCUUGAAGACCAGACGGUCUGUUGGUCUAUAGCUGCUGUGUUUAUAUGUGUAUAUGCGAGGAUGGAAAGUGUUCAGGAAGAGUUGCCUGCAUUUGGGGAAGUUCCUUUUAUAAGUUAGCUUAUUUAAAAACAAAUGCUGGGACGCGUCCUCUAGGUCGAUAAAUGUGCAUGUAUUUUAGCAUUAGUAUGAUUAGUAUGAUAACACAACAUGCAUGCUAAAAUCAGGAAAGGGAGAAACUUGACACAGUCAGUGCCUUUGAAUAGUCAGUUGUGUAAAUAUGAAAGCCCAGAACAUCAUCCUCAGAGUGAUCGCUAUCAGGCUGAGAAUAAGGGGAGUUGUUUUGGCCAUGUGGAUUUAUAGUAGCGCUUAUGUUAGCAUAAAGUUUUUAAUAUUCAGGAUACUUUUUCAGUUUCUCUGUAAUCCUAAAACUCUGAAAAUUACAGGAAAAUAGGAGAUCCAGGCAUAAAGAAGUACUUUUCCAAGGUCAUGUGUUAAAUUAGUGGCAACAUUGGAAUAUUUUGAUUACUAAUUUAGUAGUGUAUUGUCCAUAUCAUAGUGCCUCAGGAGAUUGUAAUUGCCAAAUACAAGUGUAUUUGGAAAGGAGGUAAAUAUGAUUGAUUAGAUUAUGCUUGGGAGAGCUUAAAGUAUGAAACAUGUAUAGAAUAUACAUUGUUUUUGCCUGUCCUGUAUGAGAUAGGUAGUUAUAAUUUUGAUGUGUUUACAGAGCAAGCAGAGCACUUCUGACAGUUUAGUAUGUAUGACAGUUAAAAUGCUUCCACAGCCUACUUUGUAUAGGUGUAGCUGUUUGUGGCUGGUUGAGGUUUUUUGUGCAGGGGAAGGGGAGAACAUCUGGGGAAUUAUCCUGCUAACAAGCAUUCUACCAAAGAGCCAUACUCCUGUCUGGCAGCUUGACUUCAUUUCUACCAGAGAAAGGACCUUUUUUGACUCAUCUAACAAAAAUAUUGGAUACCUAAUAAUUGAUAACCUGUCUUGGGGUAAGAAUUAUCAAGAUCUGUUGAUUAGCUUGUUGAAGUAGGUAGGGAUAUAUAAGAGGGGAAUUGUCAAUAUACUAAGAGAGCAAAUAAAUCUGUGGAAUCGAAACCACCAAACCUUUUCUAAAAGCUUUCAGUCUGAAUGUGGUGGUGCACACUUGUAAUCCCAAUAUUCUGGAGGCUGAGGCAGGAGGAUCAUGAGUUCAAGCUCUUUUCUAUGCUUCAUAUUAAGUUUAAAGUCAGCCCUGGUUUUGGAAGACGUUAUCUCAGCAAACAAGGGGCUGGAGAUGAGGCUCAGAGCGAAGAGCACUUCCUGCUCUUCACAGGACGGGGUCCCAGCUCCCAGCACCCAGUUCAGGCAGCUCACAGCUGCUUAUAACUCUAGGGUAUCUGCCUCGCCUUUCCAGUCUCUGCUGAUGAAUACACACACACACACACACACACACACACACACACACACACACAGGAGAGAGAGAUAGAGACAGAGAGAGAGAAAGGUCAUCCAACAGGUGCUAUGCUUGUAACAGAGUAAGCUUUUUGGACAGUUUCCUUUUGUUGCCCAGGACCUAUUAUGUGGCCCAGGCUGGCCUCAAAUUUGAGGAUUGUAGUCUUCUUGCCAUAGCCUUCUGGGAUUAUAGUCAUGAGCCAACUCGCCUGACUUCUUUGGCAGUUUCUUUUGGCAUUUAUGAGUAAACUGUUUUUGGGAUCUGUAAAUUAUUGAUAUGUGCCUUUGGAUAUUGGAACUUCUUGGCUGGACUGUAGGAAUUCUUCGAAAGGCUAAUUUUGUAGUACAGAUCCCCUCUUGGAAAAUGAGGAAUCUUUGAACUAAUUCAACUGUAUUAUUGGAUGUUUCCUAGUCUAGAACACACACACACACACACACACACACACGCACGCACACACACAAAUUUAUCCUGAGAAUCUGAGGAAAUAGAGACCUUACAUUUAAUGUAUAGAUCAGGCUGGCCUCAGACAGCGAUCUGUCUACCUCUUUGAGUGCUGGGAUUAAAUGCAUGUAUCACCGUGCCCAGCUAUUAAGUAUAUACUUUUGAGAGCUUAAGUUGUAAUGAAAUAAUACUAAUUCAGAAGGUCUUGUUUUUAAAUACCUACUUUCCCCUUGUAUUUUCUUUAGGAGUAGAGAUGUAUUUAAGUUUGAAGGUGAAUGCUGUAGUAGUACUUGAAUGUGUCAUCAGGAGAACUUCAGGAUCAGGGUUUUAAAUUUGUCCUCAAGAGAGCAUUUAGAAAAGUCUAGGCAGGAAGAUGAUUGUGAAUUCAAGGCCAGCCUGGACUACAUAGUGAGUUCUAGGUUAGCCUAAGCUGUAAAGUGAGACUCUCAGAAAACCAGACAGGGAAAAGAGAAUUUAUCUUUCUGCAGUUAGUAAAUAAUUGUGGACUGUGUUUGAUAAGGAUAUGUAAUGCAGUACAUCUUUAUAUUCUGAUUUUUGAGAAAUACUGUCUUUUUUUCCUCAGUUGUAUGUUGAGACAGAUGAUUCCUCUCUCUGAUUCUUCUUUGAUAAUGUGUUUAGUUAUAAGCACAUUUCACUGCUCCUACAUGGAGAACACUUAAGAUAUGUAGUGUCUGUUAUUCUAGAGAUUUCUUUUUUUAUAAAUUUAUUUUUUAAGAUUUUAUUUUAUUGUAUAUGAGUACACUGUAACUGCCUUCAGAUGCACCAGAAGAGGGCAUCAGAUCUCAUUACAGAUGGUUGUAAGCCACCAUGUGGUUGCUGGGAUUUGAACUCAGGACCUCAGGAAGAGCAGUCGGUGCUCUUAACCACUGAGCCAUCUCUCCAGCCCCCAUAUUCUAGAGAUUUUAAUCCAGAUGAAUCUAUGACUUGCAUAAUAUUGAGGACUCUGACUAGAAGGUUGAAUUGAGAUUUUACAGCUUGUGAAGGGUUUUUGAUUAUAUUUAUUAUUUUAAUUAAUAUUAUUAUGUAUGUGCUUGAUGUGUGUCUGGGUGUGCUUUUCCUGGUACACAUGUGGAAGGCAGAGGACAGCUUGGUAGAGUUGGUCAUCUCCCUGUCUUUGUAUAGUUUCGGAUCAGAAUCAAGUCUCCAGGCUUUGGAAGCAGAUCUAUCUAUUGAGUUACGUUGCUGGUCUUGAUUAUUAGAAGGCUAUAAAAUGCAUAUACUGUAUGUAAGGUUAUAUACUUAUAAUCCUUUCAGGGGCUAAAAAAAUGGCCAUCAGUUAAGAGCACUUACUGCUUUUGCAAAAGACAGGUUUGAUUCUCAAGUACUCAAAUGGCAGCUUACAACUGCACAUAACUGUAGUUCCAGAGGAUCCAGCACUUUCUUCUGGUCUCUGCAAGUUCUGGGAUGAAUGUAGUAGGUAUAAACCCAUUUGGGCACAAUCAGAUACACAUAAAAGUAAAAAUAAAAAUUUAAAGUGCCUUCACAUUGGGUGUGGUGGAACAUGCCUUUAAUCCCAAUAGCUUGCUUUGGUUUUUGAAAAAGGGAUUUCACUAGCCCAGGAUACCACUAUGUUAACCUGUAGGGGAUUUCUGUAAAAAGGUCUUGAUGCCAUUUGGGGAUACUUGGUAUAAAAUUCAAGGAUCGUUUGAUAACUACCCAUGAAUCCACUAUUUGAAAUAAAAAGCAAUUAGUGUACUUUGAAAAAAGUAAAAGUUUAAGAAAGGCAUUUAACUUAUUUUAGAGAAGGAAUUUUAACAGGAUAGAUUGUGUGGGUCUCAGUAAAAGUGCUUUGUCUUUUUUUUUUUUUUAAGAUUUACUUUAUUUUAUGUGUAUUUUGCCUGUAUAUAUGUGUGUGUACCGUGUGUGUCUGGUAUCAAUGGAGGAUCUUGAGAACAUGUGGCUGUUGGCUCCUAUGUGGGUGCUGAGUACAAGUACAAGCAUUAUCAUGUACUUAUCUCUCCACUCCUGUUCUCUUAUUUUGUAUUAGAAUGGCCUCUGUAAAACUUUGUGAGGGCUGGAGAGAUGGCUCACUUGAGUGCUCUUCCAGAGGCCCUGAGUUCAAUUCCCAACAACCCCAUGGUGGCUCACAACUGUCUGUAAUGGAGAUCUGAUGCCCUCUUCUGGCAUGUUUGAAGAUAGUCACAGUGUGUUUCAUAUACAUAAAAUAAAUAAAAAAAAAAACUUUGAAAAGUUUUUUUUCUCCAGUACUUAAUGAGUAUGUCCAUGGUGUUGUUUUAUUGGUUGUAUAUGCAUAUAUAUUUUUUCACAUAUGUAUAUAUUUUUUUUUCUUUUUCUUUUUUUCGGAGCUGGGGACCGAACCCAGGGUCUUGCGCUUUCUAGGCAAGCGCUCUACCACUGAGCUAAAUCCCCAACCCCCACAUAGGUAUAUUUUGUCCUUUGUGUAUUUCACAUACUUUAAAAUUAACUUUUUUUGGAUGUAGUAUCUCACAUAAUAGCCAAGGCUAUCCUGGAAUUCACUAUGUAGCUCAGACUAACCUCAAACUCAGGAAAGUCAUCUUGUCUCUGCCUCCUAGGUCCUAGAGUUAGAAGCCUGAGCCAGUGUGACUGCAUAUGUAGAGGGAUCACUUAAGCCCAUAAGCUAGAGGUCAGCUGGGUAGCAUUUUGAGAUCUUGUCUCAAAAACAAAACAAAUACUUAAAAUCUCUUUCCCUCUCCCCUUCCCUCCCUCUCUCCCUCCCUCCUUCCCUCCUUCCUUCUCUCUCUCUCUCUCUCUCACACACACACACACACACACACACACACACACACACGCACACACACACAGACGUUCAAAUUCUUAUGGAACAGUAAUGGAAAAAAACCCAGACCAUCCAGUUAAAGGUCUGCUGGGUUAUGUGCUAAGACCCUGUUUCAAACAAACCAAACCAGGAGUAGAAAAAGAUUAUGUCUUGUUUUUACAUUGUGAACUUCCAAAUAUCUUGCAGGGUAUUGGCUUUACAAUGUUAACAGUUCCACUGGCUUUGGCUAAUAAAGAUGUGGCCAUUUCCACUCCUGCCCAUUUGUUUGUGCAUAGUGGAGAAGUCUGACCCGGCAGUUGCAGCCCCCCCCCCCAAACCUUCGUGUUGUUUUUUAAAUUAAGUAUGGUGGUAUGAGUAUUUUAAGGAGUUUUUAAAGAUACAUAUUUUUAUUGGUGUAUACACAUGGGAGCAAGAGAGACAGAGACAAAGAGAUACUGAGAGAGAUUACAUUGAAGGGCCACAAGAGGGCAUCAAAUCCCCCUGGAGAUGGAGUUAAAGGUGGAUCAAACCUGGUGCUGGCAACUAAAUUCUGGUCCUCUACAAGAGCAGCAAGCACUCUUCUUACCCGCAGAGCCAUCUCUCCAGUCUCAGUCUAUUUUAAAGACACUUUAGAGCCUUAAUAUUUUCUGUGAGUCUUAUGUGUCAGCCUUCAAAAACAAUGAGAUACUUUAAACCUUGUUACCACAAAAAAGGAAAAUGUUCAUUGUAGUUGGUUUUUGUUUCUAUCCAUGCUUCUAGUUCUUACAAUUUUCUCAGUUAGCUGUAAUUUUUCAUGUUUCUGUUUUCAUUUGCAUACAUGUAUCUGUGUGUUCUUGUGAGUGGAAGUGGGAGGAGGACUUCAAGUGUCAUUCCUUCUAAGUUGCUGUCUAUCUUGUCUUUGAAAUAGGGUCUCUUACUGGCUUGUGGCUCAACUAGUAGGAUAGGUGGACUGAAUUGCUGGUAGCUCCAGCUAUAUAUAUCCUAGCAUUGAGAUCAUAAGCAAGCACCACACCUGACCGUUUUUACAUUGGUACUGGGGCUCAGAGUCAGGGCUCUAUACUUACAAAGCAAGAACUUUAUCUAUCAGCUGAGCUUCCACCCCUCUUCUGUUUCUUUGUAUGAAGAUGCCUUUCUACUUGUCAUCCUAAUAGAUACCUGGAAAGGUAGAGUUUCAUGUAGCUUAGGUUGGCCUGCAGCCUUGAACUUCUGUUCUUCCUGACUCUUACCUUCCAAGUGCUAGGAUUAUAGGCAUAUGCUAAGCCUGCCUCAGAAAUCUUUUUUUUUAAGUAACUGGGUCAUUAGAAUUGUUAAUAGCAAGAGUCUGGUGAAUUUUUUUUUUUUUUUUUUUUAUUAACUUGAGUAUUUCUUAUAUACAUUUCGAGUGUUAUUCCCUUUCCCGGUUUCCGGGCAAACAUCCCCCUCCCCCCUGAGUCUGGUGAAUUUAAGUUAAAUAUAAUUACUAUUUUAGAGUUUCAUUUCUAUCAUUGUGUUUUACAUGUUUGAGGAAUCUAUAAAUUUUUAGUAUUUAUUACUUUUACUCUUGAUUUUUUUUAAUUCUAAAGAAAGUUUUGUUUAUGUGUAUAAUUUUUGUGGCUGUAUGUUUUUCUUUAUCAUUUGUAUAUCAGGUGCCUAUAUAGACAGAAGUGGGGGUUUGAUCCCCUGGGAUUAGAGUUAGAGAUGGUCAUGAGCCACCUUGUGGGUACAGGGAACUGAAGUCCUCCAGAAGAACAGCAGCCAUUUUCCAGCUCCUGUUCUUUCGUUCUUAUAUUGAUACUAAUCUCCAUAGGUGUGUUUAUAUAACUCUUAUAUGACUCUAUUUUAUGGUCAUGGGAAUUAAAUUACUUGUGCUAGCGACGACUUGGAAUCUAUGUUGUCAAUAGGGAAGCCCUCUAACAGUGAAAGUGGAUGGAGAUUCCCAUCACUGCUUUUAGCUGUUCUCAGAUUAGUCAGAAAAGCUAGUUGGUAUCAUGUUGAUAGUUUUCUAUUGUUUUAGUCAUACUGACAAAAUGUUAAAAACAUUUUCUGUGGAAUCCAAUUACCACAAAGAAGUGAGUUGGCAUUGGAGACAUUGAACAAGAGCAGAAUUGUUCUGCCUCAAGGCAGCUAGCUACUCAGAAGAAUGAAAUCCAUAUUGGUUUGAUUUUGAAGUUUGAUGAUGAACACUAUGUAUGGGCAGUUGGGAAAUUGUACUUACCUUAUGUGGUAAGUGUUGAUGAUGUUCAUGUGGUGUUCAUGACGAGCAGAAGCAAGACAGUGACAGCAAAGGCUGCUCUUAAGCUGAGAGGAUGUUCCUGAGAACAGACAUUUUAAAUUGUUAACUCCUUAAAAUUUAUUCAGUUGUCUAAAUUUAUCUUAUUUUGAAAUUGGGUCUCAUUCUAAGUUCAAGUUGGCCUGAAAAUCACUAUUUAACUCAAUUUUGUCUUAAACUUGAUCCCUCUGCCUCAACCUCCUGAAUUCUAAGAUUAUACACAUUUGUUACCUUACUUAGCAUAGUUUUUGUUUCUUUUUGGGUUUUUUUGUUUUUGUUUUUUUGGGGGGGAUAGUGUCUUGCCGUUUUGCUUAAGGUGAUUUGUUAAACAUGCAUCUCUCUCUCUUUUCCUCCAUCUUUAUUAACUUGAGUAUUUCUUAUUUACAUUUCCAGUGUUAUUCCCUUUCCCCAUUUCCAGGCCAGCAGCCCCCUAACCCUCCCCUCUCCCCUUCUAUGUGGGUGUUCCCCUCCCCACCCUCCCCCCAUUGCCACCCUCCCCCCAACAGUCUAGUUCACUGGGGUUCAGUCUUAGCAGGACCCAGGGCUUCCCCUUCCACUGGUGCCCUUACUAGGAUAUUCAUUGCUACCUAUGAGGUCAGAGUCCAGGGUCAGUGCAUGUAUAGUCUUUGGGUAGUGGCUUAGUCCCUGGAAGCUCUGGUUGGUUGGCAUUGUUGUACAUAUGGGGUCUCGAGCCCCUUCAAGCUCUUCCAGUCCUUUCUCUGAUUCCUUCAACGGGGGUCCCGUUCUCAGUUCAGUGGUUUGCUGCUGGCAUUCGCCUAUGUAUUUGCUGUAUUCUGGCUGUGUCUCUUAAUAUUUGACUCUAUGUUUUGUCUUGUUUUCUGUAUGUGGUACCUAGUCAUUUUACUCAAACAGUUUUGUUUGUCUCAAGGAGGACAGUAUGUCAAUUAUAAAUUAGUUUUGUUUUGGCUUCUCAGUGUAAAUGGUAUUGUUUGAAAUUUGGAAAGGACAUUUUUAAGGUUUCCUAGUUCUGCACUGCUGAAAUGAAGACUCCAUAGUUCAAGUAUUUUCUGACUAAGUCCAACAAGGGCAAAAUGGGAAAAAUUUAAAAGAUAUCUUUGAAAAUAAGAAAUGAAAAAUUGAUGUUUGAAAAAUAGGGCUCAAAGGGAUUGAAUCAGUCAUGUAGAAUAAUCACCAGGUGAACAUUCUGUGUUUUCAGAGGUGAUCUGAAGGUACAAAUCUUAAACAAGUAGAGAUUCCAUGUCCAACUAAAUGAUAAACACAGGUUAGGAAGUUAAUGUUUAGAUGCAAAGAGAUAAAAAUAAUGAGUAGUUACUUUUUUUAAAGCUAUUUGUUUUGUAUGCAUGCGUUUAAUUUUGAGGAAGGAAAAGUCAAGUAAUAACAGAACAAAGUUAGGAUUUUGAUUAACAAAGUUUUUUUGUUUUGUUUUGGUUUUUGUUGUUUAUGGUUUUUGGUUUUUUAAGACAGGCUAUUAUGUAGGCUAUUCUGGAACUCACAGGCUGACCUUGUCCUUAGAAAGCAUCUGCCCCUGCCUCCCCAGUGCUAUGAUUAAAGAUGAGUGCCACCACUUCUAGGCAACAAGGAAAGAGAUGCUGGUUGCAAGUUUUGGAAAACACUAUUUUGUAUGGAAGAGUGUUCUGUAAAGGUUUUGUAAGAUCGCUCAGUAAUAGUGCACUUGUGAUGGACCCUAGGAAUACUGCUAUGUUAGGAUUGGGUUCUGACUCCGAAGGGUUUUCAAGAAAGAGUCCUUCUGCCAUCAGUUCUGGCACUCUGGCCAGCAAGAGAGAAGUAGAAAUAGAGGGUAACACAGACGAAGAGGAUCCUCGAAAGCGGAAUCGAGAAAGGGCCAUAGAAGCAGGAAAAGACGAUGGUUUGACAGAUGCACAGCAACAGUUUUCAGUGAAAGAAACAAACUUUUCAGAGGGAAAUUUAAAAUUGAAAAUUGGCCUUCAGGCUAAGAGAACUAAAAAGCCUCCAAAGAACUUGGAGAACUAUGUGUGUCGCCCUGCCAUAAAAACAACUGUCAAGCACUCAAGGAAAGCACUUAAAAGUGGGAAGAUGACAGAUGAGAAGAAUGAACACUGCCCUUCAAAAUGGGACUCUUCAAAAUUGUUCAAGAAAGCAGGUGAUGCUACAGCCAUCGAAUGCCAAUCUGAAGAAAGUGUCCAUCUUCACUCUCAGGGGGAAAAUAACCCUUUGUCUAAGAAGCUUUCUCCAGUGCAUUCACAAAUGGCCGAUUACAUUCCUGCAGCACCACCUCUUGUUGGCAGUCGGGAUCCUGACAUAAAGGACAGAGCAUUACUUAAUGGAGGAACUAGUGUAACAGAAAAGUUGGCACAGCUCAUUGCUACCUGUCCUCCUUCCAAGUCUUCCAAGGCAAAACCGAAGAAGUUAGGAACUGGCACUACAGUAGGAUUGGUUAGCAAGGACUUGAUCAGGAAACCAGGUGUUGGUUCUAUAGCUGGAAUAAUUCAUAAAGACUUAAUUAAAAAGCCUGCUCUUAGCACAGCAGUUGGAUUGGUAACUAAAGAUCCAGGGAAAAAGCCUAUGUUCAAUGCAGCAGUAAGCCUGAUCAAUAAGGACUCUGUGAAAAAAUUGGGAACUGGCACUACAGCGGUAUUCAUUAAUAAAGACUUAGGCAAAAAGCCAGGGACUGUCACUACAGUAGGACUGCUGAGCAAAGACCCAGGGAAGAAGCUAGGAAUUGGUAUCGUUCCAGGGUUAGUGAAUAAAGAGUCUGGCAAGAAAUUAGGACUUGGCACCGUAGUUGGACUGGUUAAUAAAGAGUUGGGAAAGAAAUUGAGUUCUACAGUUGGCCUAGUGGCCAAGGAUGUUACGAAGAAGAUUGUAGCAAGCUCAGCAAUGGGAUUGGUUAAUAAGGACAUUGGAAAGAAAUUAUUAAGUUGCCCCAUUGCAGGACAACUGGGCAGUAAAGAUGCCUUAAACCUUAAAUCUGAAGCACUGCUCCCCACUCAGGAACAACUUAAGGCUUCCUGUAGUGCAAACAUAAGUAAUCAUGAAAGUCAAGAACUUCCUGAGUCUCUGAAAGACAGUGCUACCAGCAAAACCUUUGAGAAGAAUGUUAUGCGGCAUAGUAAAGAAAGCAUGUUGGAAAAGUUUUCAGUCCGAAAAGAAAUUACUAAUUUGGAGAAAGAAAUGUUUAAUGAAGGAACAUGCAUUCAGCAAGACAGUUUCUCAUCUAAUGAAAGGGGAGCCUUUGAGACCUCAAAGCAUGAAAAGCAACCUCCUGUGUAUUGCACUUCUCCUGACUUUCAAAUAGGAGGUGCCUCUGACGCAUCUACAGCUAAAUCUCCCUUUGGUGCAGUAGGAGAAAGCAAUCUUCCUUCCUCGUCACCUACUGUAUCUGUUAACCCUUUAACCAGAAAUCCCCCUGAAACUUCUUCACAGUUGGUUCCAAACCCAUUACUUUUAAAUUCUACAGCAGAACAAAUGGAAGAAAUUUCUGAAUCUAUUGGAAAGAACCAGUUCACUGCUGAAAGUACCCACUUGAAUGUUGGUCAUAGGUCAUUAGGUCAUAGCAUAAGUAUUGAGUGUAAAGGAAUUGAUAAAGAACUAAAUGAAUCAAAAAGUACACAUCUAGAUAUUUCUAGAAUAAGUUCUUCCUUGGGAAAAAAGCCAAGUUUGGCUUCUGACUCUGGUAUUCAUACAAUUACUCCUUCCGUUGUUAAUUUUACUAGUUUAUUUAGUAACAAACCUUUUCUAAAGCUUGGUGCAGUAGCUGCACCAGACAAGCACUGCCAGGUCGCUGAAAGCCUAAGCACUAGUUUCCAGUCCAAACCAUUGAAAAAAAGAAAAGGGAGAAAAGCUCGGUGGACUAAAGUGGUGGCAAGAAGCACAUGCCGAUCCCCAAAAGGACUAGACUUAGAACGGUCAGAGCUUUUUAAGAAUGUUUCCUGUAGCUCACUAUCAAAUAGUUCUGAGCCAGCAAAGUUUAUGAAAACUAUCGGAGCAUCGUCUUUUGUCGAUCAUGACUUCCUUAAACGCCGAUUGCCAAAGUUGAGUAAGUCUUCAGCUCCAUCUCUUGCUCUUUUAGCCGACAGUGAGAAAGCAUCUCAUAAGUCUUUUAUCACUCACAAACUGUCCUCCAGUAUGUGUGUCACUAGUGAUCUUUUGUCGGAUAUUUAUAAGCCCAAAAGAGGAAGACCCAAAUCCAAGGAAAUGCCUCAACUAGAAGGUCCACCUAAAAGGACUUUAAAAAUACCUGCCUCUAAAGUUUUUUCUUUACAGUCUAAAGAAGAACAAGAACCCCCAAUUUUACAACCAGAAAUUGAAAUUCCUUCCUUCAAACAAAGUUUGUCUGUAUCUCCUUUUCCAAAAAAGAGAGGCAGGCCUAAGAGGCAGAUGAGGUCUCCAGUGAAGAUGAAGCCCCCUGUACUGUCAGUGGCUCCAUUUGUUGCCACUGAAAGUCCAAGUAAGCUAGAGUCUGAAAGUGAGAACCAUAGAAGUAGCAGUGAUUUCUUUGAGAGUGAGGAUCAGCUUCAGGAUACAGAUGACUUAGAGGACAGUCAUAGGCAAAGUGUCUGCAGUGUGAGUGACCUGGAGAUGGAGCCGGAUAAAAAAAUUAGCAAGCGAAACAAUGGACAAUUAAUGAAAACAAUUAUCCGCAAAAUAAAUAAAAUGAAGACUUUAAAGAGAAAAAAAUUGUUGAAUCAGAUUCUUUCAAGUUCUGUAGAAUCAAGUAAUAAAGGAAAAGUACAGUCCAAACUUCAUAAUACAGUAUCAAGUCUUGCUGCCACGUUUGGCUCUAAAUUGGGGCAACAGAUAAAUGUCAGCAAGAAAGGAACCAUUUACAUAGGGAAGAGAAGGGGGCGAAAACCAAAAACUGUCUUAAAUGGCCUUCUUUCUGGUAGCCCUGCCAGCCUUGCUGUGCUUGAACAAACGGCUCAGCAGGCAGCUGGGUCCGCAUUAGGACAGAUCCUCCCCCCGUUACUGCCUUCACCUGCUAGUAGCUCUGAGAUCCUUCCAUCACCUAUUUGCUCUCAGUCUUCUGGGACUAGUGGAGGUCAGAGCCCUGUCAGUAGUGACGCAGGCUUUGUUGAACCUAGUUCAGUGCCAUAUUUGCAUGUGCACUCAAGACAGGGCAGUAUGAUUCAGACUCUUGCAAUGAAGAAGGCUGCCAAAGGCAGGAGGCGGCUAUCUCCUCCUACUUUGUUGCCAAAUUCUCCUUCUCAUUUGAGUGAACUCACAUCCCUGAAAGAAGCCACUCCUUCCCCAGUUAGUGAGUCUCAUAGUGAUGAGACCAUUCCCAGUGACAGUGGCAUUGGGACAGAUAAUAAUAGCACAUCAGACAGGGCAGAGAAGUUUUGUGGACAGAAAAAAAGGAGACAUUCUUUUGAGCACAUUUCUCUGAUUCCCCCUGAAACUUCUACCGUCCUAAACAGUCUUAAAGAGAAACACAAACACAAAUGUAAGCGCAGGAGUCACGAUUACCUCAGCUAUGACAAGAUGAAAAGACAAAAGCGAAAACGGAAAAAGAAAUAUCCCCAGCUUCGAAAUAGGCAGGAUCCAGACUUCAUCGCAGAACUAGAGGAGCUGAUAAGUCGUCUAAGUGAGAUUCGGAUUACCCAUCGAAGUCAUCAUUUCAUUCCCCGAGACCUCCUGCCAACUAUUUUUCGAAUCAACUUUAAUAGUUUCUAUACACAUCCUUCUUUUCCCUUAGACCCUUUGCACUACAUUCGGAAGCCUGACUUAAAAAAGAAAAGAGGGAGGCCCCCUAAGAUGAGGGAGGCAAUGGCAGAAAUGCCCUUUAUGCACAGCCUUAGUUUUCCUUUAUCUAGUACUGGAUUUUACCCUUCUUAUGGCAUGCCUUAUUCUCCUUCACCCCUCACUGCUGCUCCGAUAGGAUUAGGGUAUUAUGGACGGUAUCCCCCCACUCUCUAUCCACCACCUCCAUCUCCUUCAUUCACCACUCCACUGCCACCUCCCUCCUAUAUGCAUGCUGGUCAUUUAUUGCUCAAUCCUACCAAAUAUCAUAAGAAAAAGCAUAAGCUCCUUAGACAGGAGGCUUUUCUUACAACCAGCAGGACUCCUCUCCUUUCCAUGAGCACCUACCCCAGCGUACCUCCUGAGAUGGCUUAUGGUUGGAUGGUGGAGCACAAACACAGACACCGUCACAAACACAGAGAGCACCGUUCUGAACAGCCCCAGGUUUCCAUGGAUACUGGCUCCUCCAGAUCGGUCUUGGAGUCUUUGAAACGUUACCGAUUUGGUAAGGAUACUGUUGGAGAUCGCUAUAAGCAUAAGGAAAAGCACAGGUGUCACAUGUCCUGCCCUCAUCUCUCUCCUUCAAAGAGCUUAAUAAACAGAGAAGAACAGUGGGUUUCUCGAGAGCCUUCAGAAUCAAGUUCUUUAGCCUUGGGAUUGCAAACACCUUUACAAAUUGACUGCUCGGAAAGUUCUCCAAGUUUGUCCCUUGGAGGAUUUACUCCCAAUUCUGAGCCAGCCAGCAGUGAUGAACAUAUGAACCUUUUUACAAGUGCAAUAGGCAGCUGCAGAGUUUCAAACCCUAACUCGAGCUGCCGGAAGAAGUUAACUGACAGCCCUGGACUCUUUCCUGUACAAGAUACUGCACUAAGUCGGCCUCACAGAAAGGAACCGUUGCCUUCCACUGAAAGGGCAAUACAAUCGUUGGCAGUUUCUCAGGAAUUGCUGUACAGUGCUGCCAAUAACGAUCUCCGGGGAUCUGACCCCCAUUCCACCUCCCACUGCUUCUUCAGCAGCUCCAGAUGCCACCAAAAGAAGGAGCUUUGAAGACAGUGCCUGUACCCUCUUUUACCCUGAGGUGGGUGAGGCCAGGCAGGGUGAUUCUCAGGAUAUCCUGAUGAUCAAAGGUUCCCAGUCAGCUUCCGAUAAACCUUCCCAGCGAUCAUCAGAAAGCACAAAUUGUAGCCCUACCCGUAAAAGGUCUUCAUCUGAAAGUACUUCUUCAACAGCUUUAUAGAAAAACCAGUUGAAAUUCCCAGUCCUCUUGAAACCCCGGCUGAACCUUCUGAACCUGAAAGUAACUUACAACCUGUGCUGGCUCUCAUCCCACGAGAAAAGAAA